AAAAAAGGAAAAUUUCUGGGGGGAAAAAGCACAAAAACAAAAACUUUACUGUUUUCAUUGGAUUUUGAGUGAUUUUAAAUUUCUUUUCAACCUCUGAAAUUCCUUCGAACCACUUGUGGAAAUGGAUUGAGCUUAGUCAUCAAAAACUUGGUUUAAAGUUUGGUUGGAUCUUGGGUUAUUUGAUAUUUAUUACUUGAAGCUGGUUAUAUAUCAUUACUGGGGUUUUGAGCUGUUUUGGCUGACUGCUUGUUGCUGACUCCUGCUGUAUAUAUGCUAAUUAUUCACCCCUAUUUUCUUUCAAAUUUUUAGGUACCUUCUUAGAUCAUGAUUGAGGAUUGAGUGUUAAACAUGUAAUAGAGCUGAAGUUUUGUUAAAUGAAGCCCCAAUUUGAAGCUGAUUUCCCUUUUCCUUUUACUAUUUCCAUGUCCUGUAAUUAGAUUUCUACUUAUAGAUGUUAAUUAAGGUUUCUUUCUCUUCUCUGAAAUUGGUUAUGUGAAUUUGACUUGCAGUAGCAUUUUGCAUCUGUAUCAAUAAGUGAACAGUGGACUUUAAUCAUUCAGAUUCAUGUUUGAUAUUGUGUUCUGGGUUAUAGCAGUUGUUAGUUUCUUGUUGAGAAUCAUUCAGGUUCAGGUCUUGCAGGCUGAAUAUUGGACUAUAUGUGUAUUAGUUUAUGCAAAUGAAGUUUUGUGAGCAUGACUGUCAUGAGUUUUAGAUUUAAGAUUCAUGCUUAAAUUAUUCCUAUAAAUGACGUUAGUUAGAAGGUUGAUUCCAGUCAUGAUAAAUCUAAGAGAGAGAAUCAGAAAGAUCGUUGAUUACAUCGCGACGAAGUGCAAUAGUUGUGAAGCUAUGACUAGUUCAUGUUCUUUUCCGCCGCAAUGAACUUUGUCUGCCAGGUAAUGGAAGACCUCCACCACCUCCAAGGGGAUUUAGCAAGCAGGCCUGUGGAGAUACUCAAUGAUUGCCCCGUGAGCCCAGGAGCAUUAGAGGCACUAAUGUAUUCAUAAUCUUCAC
RNAcentral lists this long non-coding RNA (1011 nucleotides) under Nicotiana benthamiana. RNAcentral's name for it is "long non-coding RNA (NBEN_LNC033714)". Lineage: Eukaryota; Viridiplantae; Streptophyta; Magnoliopsida; Solanales; Solanaceae. The record is from RNAcentral.